GAUGAACGCUGGCGGCGUGCCUAAUACAUGCAAGUCGAGCGAACAGACGAGGAGCUUGCUCCUCUGACGUUAGCGGCGGACGGGUGAGUAACACGUGGAUAACCUACCUAUAAGACUGGGAUAACUUCGGGAAACCGGAGCUAAUACCGGAUAAUAUAUUGAACCGCAUGGUUCAAUAGUGAAAGACGGUUUUGCUGUCACUUAUAGAUGGAUCCGCGCCGCAUUAGCUAGUUGGUAAGGUAACGGCUUACCAAGGCGACGAUGCGUAGCCGACCUGAGAGGGUGAUCGGCCACACUGGAACUGAGACACGGUCCAGACUCCUACGGGAGGCAGCAGUAGGGAAUCUUCCGCAAUGGGCGAAAGCCUGACGGAGCAACGCCGCGUGAGUGAUGAAGGUCUUCGAUCGUAAAACUCUGUUAUUAGGGAAGAACAAAUGUGUAAGUAACUAUGCACGUCUUGACGGUACCUAAUCAGAAAGCCACGGCUAACUACGUG
Molecule: ribosomal RNA, 496 nt
Filed under: uncultured bacterium
Lineage: Bacteria
Description: partial 16S ribosomal RNA
Rfam family: Bacterial small subunit ribosomal RNA
Source: RNAcentral